Molecule: ribosomal RNA, 301 nt
Filed under: uncultured bacterium
Lineage: Bacteria
Description: partial 16S ribosomal RNA
Rfam family: Bacterial small subunit ribosomal RNA
Source: RNAcentral
CAGCAGCCGCGGGAAUACGAAGGGGGCUAGCGUUGUUCGGAUUUACUGGGCGUAAAGCGCACGUAGGCGGACUUUUAAGUCAGGGGUGAAAUCCCGGGGCUCAACCACGGAACUGCCUUUGAUACUGGAAGUCUUGAGUAUGGUAGAGGUGAGUGGAAUUCCGAGUGUAGAGGUGAAAUUCGUAGAUAUUCGGAGGAACACCAGUGGCGAAGGCGGCUCACUGGACCAUUACUGACGCUGAGGUGCGAAAGCGUGGGGAGCAAACAGGAUUAGAUACCCCCGUAGUCCCUGUCUCUUAUAC